Molecule: long non-coding RNA, 2598 nt
Organism: Passer montanus (Eurasian tree sparrow)
Lineage: Eukaryota; Metazoa; Chordata; Aves; Passeriformes; Passeridae
Exons: 2
Source: RefSeq, a predicted model, not a curated record
CCUAAGUGGAGACUGUAGGAAUCUAAGAAUCACUGAGGCCAAAAGGGCAAGUCUGUGUAUAUGCCCAGACCUGCACUAUUCUCUGAGGUGCAACAAGACACAGCAUAAAAGAACUUCCUGACCCAAAAUGGACACGAAAUAUCUCCCCAAGAAGAACAAACAGUUGUUCUGAGUUAACUUGAAUAAACAGAAAGCAAGUGUAAUGUUACUUCAGAUAAGCUAAAGGGUAGUCUGCUUGCUUGGCUGUGAAUUAUUAGACACAAGCCAUUUGAAAGUAAGAAAUUUUACUGGAGACACAAGUUAGUGCAUAAUGUUGCAAAAUUUUACAUAAAAAAGGCACAAAGAACUUGAUUAUACAGACAUGACAAUUUUGUACCUGAAAUUAACUUGAAUUAAAAAACAUUUUACUGAAGCAUUGCCAAAUAUCAAGUGUUAAAUCCAUGAAAAUAAAAGAAACCAAAACAAAAGGUAGAGUAAGUAGGGCCAUUUUAUGAAGACAGGAAAUUCCAACAUUUAAUAAUGACACCAGUAGUAAAGCAUUGCUAAAACCAUUGGCAAUAUUUGCUAGAAAUGUGAAUAUGUAAAUCACACUGGGCAAGACAAAAGCACAUGUCCCCAAAACUGUCUUCCCUCAGACAUUAGUUUUGGGGACAAAUACAUGCUCUGCAGUUUUGAAGAUGGUAUGAGUCUGCUUCAAACCGUGAAAGUUGAGUAAAAAGACUGAACUAGAGCACACAACAAACAGUUAUUUACAUUUUAAUGACUCGGUACCUUUUGGGCACCUCAGUUUGAGACAAAAAUUUAAAUUUAAGAAUUCAUAUGGCACAUCAAAAACUACUAUUUGUAGUCUCUUAAUCAAGUUACAAUGCAGAUGUCCAAGGUUUUAUAAAAAGCACCACAUGCUUCAGAAAUGAACCCAAGACAGUGCUCCAGUCAAGCCUAAAGAAGAAACUUCAAAAAAUCCCAAAGACAGAGUACUCUGUAUAAGCAGUUGGGCAAGAGACAUUUCUAAAUCUGAAGGGAAGUAUUGUUUUACUUUGUGUGUCAACUAUUUGCAAAAGAUUACGAUAAAGCAAUGCAUGUCUCCCACUUCAAUAUCCAAAUUUCUUAGCAAGAGUUUUAGUAAUGAUUUUAUCUGUGCAAGGUUUGUAUAAUUUUCUAACUUUCUUUUGUCAGCACUUAAGAAUUGCAGAUUAAAAUAAUCAGGAAAUGAGUGAUCUUGCCUCAAACAAUACAAUCCCAUAAGAAAUUACAUUUUAGUAGCUAAAAGAAUUCCCUUACCACUUGUAGAAGUUGGGUGAUAUAAUAGUGCUGAUUGUCUCUCAAGUCAGAGGAUUUAAUGUAGCUGCACACAGCAUGAGUGCAAGGACUAAGGACCUUUUUUCUAGAACAGAUUUGCUGUGAGCACACCCAUUUCUUAACUCACAAGGAGAGGCGAGAAUUAGUUUAUUGAAAAAAAGAAAGAAUGGAGAGAAAUAUGAAAGGAAUGUUCAAUGAAAAAAACCAGUCUGAUUCAGUUUUUAAAACAAACUGGAGAGAAUGUAGGAGUCUAAACACCCAUCUCCUAUCUCAUGGUGAACAGAACACAGCUGCCACUGAAAAGUCAACUUAAAACAAAUACACAAGAUUAAUCACUGACCCAACUAAUUCAUUAUUCUGUUCCAGAGCCUCAGUUUUACGGAUGUCUGCCAAAAACUGUCGUUGUGUUACCUGGUAUAUUAAGGUCUUUGGAACAUGUUUCAAAGUGUGCACACAGCAGGAAUUGAAGGUCCCCUUCAAGGACCCACACGUGAAGGUAACUGAGGACACCGUGCAGGCUGGAGUCAGGCUAACAGGUUAACCUUUUCCUUCAAACCUAUGGCUCAAAUGAGCACUUUCAUGUUACAAAUCCAGAACCAUAAAGCAGCUGAGUGCAUGGGCAACAGCAGUAGAGGAUGUUUUUAGUUUGCUAAAUUGGAAUGGUCAUGGAGGUAAUCCGGACUCCUGUGCUAACGAAGUUAUCGCCUCACGCCCCUCAAGUAUGACAAGUCAUUUAAAGAAUUCUCAUUUGGACAUUUUAUACAGUGGAAAAGAGAAAAGAGCUUUGCUCUGGCCUUGUCAUUCAACUCAACUGUGUGGGCAGAGGUGGCAGGAAAAGAUAUAAUGCAGUACAACUUAUGUAAAUUGUAACCUGUUUUAAAACCUUUUUUUCACACUUUGUCAGCCAGGCUUCAAACAGGGAGGUAUUAAUACUUCCCAGAGUAGAUGGAGACAUACUGUUUGUGCAAUUUUAAAUUCUAAACCUAGAUUAGCACUUAUGUCUGACUAUGUCCAAAGUACUGCAUUAGGGAGUAUGGUAUUAGGGUCCUCAUUACAUGAAAAAAACCCACAAUAAACCAUAGCACUGCUAUCAUCUAAGCUCUUCCCUACUUUGUAAGAAAAGUCCAAUUUGAAAUUUCUCACAGACUUUUUUCCUGCAGCUUCCUCCCAUCAGACACUGAUGGUACUGAUUUUCCUUUUCCUCUACUGUAUUCCAUUCCUGUUAGUUGACUGUCAUUAUCCACUGAUAAAACAAUUAUAUGGCAGGAUCUGUGAAAAUAAAAUCGUUCCAUAAGUGCA